Molecule: non-coding RNA, 393 nt
Organism: Phyllostomus hastatus (greater spear-nosed bat)
Lineage: Eukaryota; Metazoa; Chordata; Mammalia; Chiroptera; Phyllostomidae
Source: the annotation of a RefSeq genome assembly
AUGUCUCCUCUCCUCCUGGUGCUUCUCUCUCACUGCACAGGUUCCCUCUCCCAGCCUGUGGUCACUCAGCAGUCCUCCCUCUCUGCUUCUCUGGGAGCAACAGCCAGACUCACCUGCACCCUCAGCAGUGGCUUCAGUGUUCGCUACUCUGUUAUAUCCUGGUACCAGCAGAAGCCAGGAAGCCCUCCCAGGUAUCUCCUAUCCUACUACAGCGAUUCAUUAAAGGACCAAGGAUCCGGGGUCCCCAGCCGCUUCACUGGAUCCAAGGACGCCUCGGCCAAUGCAGGGGUCCUGACCAUCUCGGGGCUGCAGCCAGAGGACGAGGCCGACUACUACUGUCUGUCUUCUGAUACUAGUGGUAAUCACACAGUGCUGCAGACUCAGGGGAAGUGA